Molecule: ribosomal RNA, 406 nt
Filed under: uncultured bacterium
Lineage: Bacteria
Description: partial 16S ribosomal RNA
Rfam family: Bacterial small subunit ribosomal RNA
Source: RNAcentral
AUUGGACGCUGUCGGCAGGCCUAACACAUUCAAGUCGAACGAGUGGCGGACGGGUGAGUAAUGUCUGGGAAACUGCCUGAUGGAGGGGGAUAACUACUGGAAACGGUAGCUAAUACCGCAUACCAUCAGAUGUGCCCAGAUGGGAUUAGCUAGUUGGUGGGGUAACGGCUCACCAAGGCGACGAUCCCUAGCUGGUCUGAGAGGAUGAACAGCCACACUGGAACGUAGACACGGUCCAGACUCCAACGUGAGGCAGCAGUGGGGAAGAUUGCACAAGGGGCGAAAGCCGGAUGCAGCCAUGCCGCGUGUAUGAAGAAGGCCUUCGGGGUGUAAAGUACGUUCAGCGGGGAGGCGUUACCCGCAGAAGAAGCACCGGCUAACUCCGUGCCAGCAGCCGCGGUAAUUC